Oryctolagus cuniculus (rabbit) is the source of this 4367-nucleotide non-coding RNA. Lineage: Eukaryota; Metazoa; Chordata; Mammalia; Lagomorpha; Leporidae. The record is from RefSeq and is a predicted model, not a curated record.
AUUUAUUUUAAAGGGAGAGAGAGAGAGAGAGAGAUCUUCUAUGCACUGGUUCACUCCUCAAACACCUGCCAAUUGGCUGAUGGCCAAUGAUGGGCCAGGCUGAAGCCAGGAACCCAGAGCUUAAUCCAGGUCCCCCAUGUGGGUGGCAGUGACCUAGUACCUGAGCCAUCACCCGCUCUCCCAGGCAUGCAUUAGCAGGAAGCUGGGCUCAGGAGUGGAGCCAGAACUCAAGUCCAGGCUCUCUGUUACAGGACGUGGGUGUCCCAUGUGGCAUCUUCACCGCUGUGCCAAAUGCCCUCCUCCACAGCAAACAUUUUUUGAGUGUGAACAAGGUGGUGGUCGAUAUGGAAAUGUACGAAAAACUCUUUACUUAAGAGAAACGAGAACAUCUGCCCACCAAACACCCGUGCACAAGAAUGUGUGCGACAACUUUAGUCACAGGAGCCUAAACUGGUAACAGCUCACAUGUACAUCCGCAAGGGAACAGGUCGUCAAGUUACAGUAGAUGUGUUCCAGCAAACACUGCUCAGCGAAAAAGGGGGAAAACGUGGGGCAGGACGGGGGCUUCAUGAAGCUCAUGGGAAAUGCCUGGGUUCGAGUCCCAGCUCUGCUCUGGAUUCCACUUUUCUACUUGUGCAGACCCUAGGAGGCAGCAGGCUGAUGGCUCAAAUGGUUGGGUCUCUCCCACCCACACGGGAGGCCCAGACUGAGUUCUGGGCUUCUGGCUUUGGACUGGCUUAGUCCUGGCUGUUGUGGGCAUUUUUGAGCCAGCAGAUGAUAUCUCUCUCUCUCCCCCUCACUCCCCCUCUCUUCUCCUCACUCCUCCUCUCUCCCUCCCCCUCUCUCCCUCUCUCCCUCUCUCCGUGUCUUUCUUUCUUUCUUUCUUUUUGAGAGUUUAUUUAUUUACCUGAAAGAAUCACAGAGAGGCAGAGGCAGAGGCAGAGAGAGGAGAGGUGUCUUCCAUCCACUGGUUCACUCCCCAGUUGGCCGCAAUGGCCGAUCCGGAGCAGGAGCCAGGAACUUCCUCUGGGUCUCCCACAUCGAUGCAGGGGCCCAAGCACUUGGGCCACCUUCCACUGCUUUCCCAGGCCAUAGCAGAGAGCUGGAUUGAAAGUAGAGCAGCCGGGACCCAAACCAGUGCCCAUAUGGGAUGCCGGUUCUGCAGGCGGCACCUUUACCUGCUGUGCCACAGCACCGACCCCCUCUCUGUGCCUUUCAAGCAAAUAAAAUAAAUUUUAAAAAGCAAGGAUUGAAAAUCUUACAUUAUAGCUUACCACAAUUUUGUAAAAAGUUGAGUCAUCAAAAAUAAGAAAAUUCUGAGGAACUGGCACAGCCCAGAGGAUCCUUAAGCAGAUAGGGUACUCAGGGAAAUGCGGGAUCCUGGAACACAGAGAAGACAUUGGUAAACUGAGGAAGUGGCAUAAGCUGUGGGCUUCCGUUAGUAACAAUGUAUCGAUAUUGAUACAUUCAAUGAGUUGUAACAAGUUUAUCAGACUAACAAAAGAUAGAGCUAGUCCUGAAACUGGGCAUAGGGUAUAUGGAAGCUGUAUUUUUUCUAUAAACCUACAAGGGUUCUACCAAGGAGCCCACUUAAAGAAAAUAAUAAUAUAGGUCCUAGGGGGUUAGGGGCAUAAACUCAGUUGGUCUCCCGGGUUCAAACUCUGGCUUCCCCACACCUCAGCUCUGGGCCCUUCAAAGAGUGAGGUCCCCUCGUGGUGUCAGCUUCUUCCUCUGUGAAGUGGGGACAUUCCAGCCGGGCACCCCCUCCGGGCCAUUGUGAGGGUUAAAUGAGAUGCUGCCUCACACCUCCCUGGUGGUCUGUACACAACGCUGUUCCUGUGAAAGGUCAAAGGCAGGGCUGUGCCUUUGGGAAGCGGGCAGGUAGGAUGCCUGCAGUGUCUGCUGAUGGCACCUGGGACAAGUCGGGGACCUGAGCCUGGGUUUACUUAGCUAUGAAAUGAGAGCAAUGAGCCUAGUCCAAGGGCGGUUGGGAGGGUGGACAGAGCUCCUGUGAGCAAAGCCCCAGCACAGGGCGGAGCCAGGAAGACCCUUGGGGUGGGGGUGGGGGUUUUGGAGGUGAUGGGCCCGAGGGAGGAGUCCCAGGGAGGAGCCAGAGGGAGGGGCUGCCCUGGCUUCUGCACUGAGGGUGCUGUGUGACCUCAGCCCUACACCAAGGUCCUCCCGGGUCCCCAGUGUUGGAGCAAGGCCAGGCUGCGGCUCUCAGGCUGUUCUGUCUGCAUUCUCAUCAGGCCCUUAUCUCGCGCCUGUCACUUUCAGUGCCAUCCCAGGGCCCUCAGCCUGCCCUAGGCCCACAGGCCUGCCACGGAGGCUGUGGCCCACUCCUCAUGGUCUUCGGUCCCCACAGGGCUGAGCGCUGAGUCUGGCACCCGGUGGUUUCUGAGUCUGCGGAGGAGUUAGUGGUGGAGGGAAUUAAAUGAAUGAGAAACCCGCCCAGGGCCUGGGAUUGCUGCCUCCCCUCCCCCUACAGAAAGCCUUGCCUCUCUGGCUCUCCGGCAUCUCAGCGUCUAUGAUUAAAGCUUAAAUCCCUGGCUUAGGCCAAACGGGGUACCUGGUAAAGAGGAAAUCCUUUGGCUCAGUCUGAGUCCUGAUAGAAGGUGCACUCAGGAGGUUUCCCUGAAAAGCGAAAGAGCAAGCAGGGAUUUGCAGCGAGACAGGGGGGCGGAAGGAGGCGCCCAGGGCCCUGCGAGGUAGGCAGCUGUCGGCUCCCUGGCAUAGGGGAGCCAAGCUGGGCUCCGAGGCUGGGGAGGUGCAGCCCCUGCCCAGGGCACCAGGCUGUGAAAUGUCCCUGUGGUCAUGCCCAGUCCCCCAGGGUCCUAGGGGCAGAGAACAUGCGUGGGGGACACUCGGCCUCUGGGGCGGGAGGCUCCAUCUCCCCUUUUACAGUUUCCUGCCCAGAAAGAGGCAAGUGUCUUUAAGGACAGGGAAAGGAUGCUGGGGACCAAGGUUCUGAAGAGAAGAGCCUCACUGGGUGGGGAAGAGGGUGUCGCUUCUCUUACUACCCCUCCCUGGAUUACAGAGGGGCCGCUCAGGAGGCUCCACCCCUACCCCCAGAGUCUGAGGGCAGCAGUCUCUGUGAGCGGAGGGCGGCAAACCCUGUCCUUGACUUAGACCUCAGCUGCUGCAGGUGCUGAUGGAGAUGAGAGGCACUAAGUCUCUCCCUUGCCCCACCUGCCCCAACUCAGACACAGUUCUGCGGGAGUUCUCAGAGCUGCAGACAAGCCCUGAGCUUCUUGGAGAUAAUGCCGGCUGUGAUCCUUGACUACAGGAGUCUGCUCACCAAGCCCCCACCCCAGCGAUCCGCAGGCCACGCCGUGGGGGAACUGCAGCUGUCAGGGGGAGCUGGCCGUGUACUCCUUCCGCUGGACCUGGGAGGCAAUGACUUGCCUAAGAGAUUGUUCGGCUGCUCGGCUGGAGUCCAAGGGUCCCUAAUUGAACGCAAAGCUCACAAAGGCAAGGCCGUUUGUCUGCUGUGUUCACGCUUGCGUCUCCUGGCACAGGGCCUGGCACACACAGGUGUUUAAUGCGGUGUGUGAGUGAGUGAGCGUUUCAGGAUGGCCUGGCAGGUGCUGACAGACAGAGUGAACGGAGUCGGACGCGGCAGAGCUCCGAGGGGGCUGCAGGGAGGAGGCAGAGGCCCAAGAACGUUUCAUAAACCUGGGAAGACGGUAUCAAGUUAAGACUCUCGCUUUGAAGUGACAGAAAAGCCAAUCCCAAACCUUCUCGGCAAAAAUACAGAAUUUAUCAACUCAGAUAACUGAAGUCAGGUGUGGCUUCCUCCGGAGACUCCAGUGAUUUUUUUUUUCUCCCAGAUUCUGGUUUUCCUCUCCGCGUCUUGGCUCUGCUUCCUUGUGCUCAGUCCAUUGCAAAGAGGCUCUUUUCUCUUUGUGGCAAGGUGGUGCCAGUGGCUCCGGCCCGACCCCACCCAAGAUUAAGUCCGGAGGGCAAGCACAAGCUCUCCUUGAAGGAGACUCGGCUCACUAAGCAGAGGUGUGAAUGUCUGCUCAGUAGGUGCCAAGAUCCAAAGAGCGCCCGCCCGGGACUCCAAGUUCCAGAAGAAUUGUUGGCCAUUAGGACUGUUGAACUUCUUCCACAUUUAGUUAUUGUAAAAAUGAACAUUUACUGUCUUAAAUAUUAAUGCUCAAGCCAUGUUUGGAGUGAAAUUUGGGAAAGCAUGCUCAUGCAGACUGGUGUCUCACCGAUUUACCCUUUGAGUUCUAUCCAGUUGUAUUUACUUGGAUUUUCGACUGCUAAAGAGUAAGUCUAAGAUAACUUCUUUUCUGAUUAGAAUCUUUGCUCUUCCAGAUAACGAAGUAUAGAGUAGAAGACCUCUUGGGUGACUCAUUUUU